GUUGAACGCUGGCGGCAGGCCUAACACAUGCAAGUCGAGCGGAUGAAGGGAGCUUGCUCCUGGAUUCAGCGGCGGACGGGUGAGUAAUGCCUAGGAAUCUGCCUGGUAGUGGGGGAUAACGUCCGGAAACGGGCGCUAAUACCGCAUACGUCCUGAGGGAGAAAGUGGGGGAUCUUCGGACCUCACGCUAUCAGAUGAGCCUAGGUCGGAUUAGCUAGUUGGUGGGGUAAAGGCCUACCAAGGCGACGAUCCGUAACUGGUCUGAGAGGAUGAUCAGUCAAACUGGAACUGAGACACGGUCCAGACUCCUACGGGAGGCAGCAGUGGGGAAUAUUGGACAAUGGGCGAAAGCCUGAUCCAGCCAUGCCGCGUGUGUGAAGAAGGUCUUCGGAUUGUAAAGCACUUUAAGUUGGGAGGAAGGGCAGUAAGUUAAUACCUUGCUGUUUUGACGUGACCAACAGAAUAAGCACCGGCGAACUUCGU
RNAcentral lists this ribosomal RNA (483 nucleotides) under uncultured bacterium. Its description in RNAcentral is "partial 16S ribosomal RNA". It matches the Rfam family "Bacterial small subunit ribosomal RNA", at positions 28 to 506 of the family's 1533-position model. The record is from RNAcentral.